Molecule: unclassified non-coding RNA, 209 nt
Filed under: Hevea brasiliensis (rubber tree)
Lineage: Eukaryota; Viridiplantae; Streptophyta; Magnoliopsida; Malpighiales; Euphorbiaceae
Source: RNAcentral
AGAUAAAAGAACAUCUCCACUUCCAUUAAAGGAGAAUCUAUUAUCAACAACAAAUCAAACUAGUAUGAUUGAACAGUUAUUUACCUCUCAACAAGAAUUUGGUUAGAACAAAACACAAAAUUACUUACCAUAUGCUCCAUUCAUAAACUUCAAUAGCUUUAUCUAAAUCCCAACCGUGUUCGAUCGUUCUUCUUUACAGGAACAUAUGU